Molecule: ribosomal RNA, 407 nt
Filed under: uncultured bacterium
Lineage: Bacteria
Description: partial 16S ribosomal RNA
Rfam family: Bacterial small subunit ribosomal RNA
Source: RNAcentral
AUUGAACGCUGGCGGCAGGCUUAACACAUGCAAGUCGAACGGAGUGGCGGACGGGUGAGUAAUGCCUAGGAAUCUUCCUGGUAGUGGGGGAUAACCUCCGGAAACGGGCGCUAAUACCGCCUACUAUCAGAUUAGCCUAGGUGGGAUUAGCUAGUUGGUGGGGUAAAGGCCGACCAAGGCGACGAUCCGUAACUGGUCUGAGAGGAUGAUCAGUCACACUGGAACUGAGACACGGUCCAGACUCCUACGGGAGGCAGCAGUGGGGAAUAUUGGACAAUGGGCGAAAGCCUGAUGCAGCCAUGCCGCGUGUGUGAAGAAGGUCUUCGGAUUGUAAAGCACUUUAAGUUGGGAGGCGUUACCAACAGAAGAAGCACCGGCUAACUUCGUGCCAGCAGCCGCGGUAAUUC